GACAGAGGUUGCAAGCGUUGUUCGGAAUUACUGGGCAUAAAGCGCACGUAGGCGGUCCGCUAAGUCAUGUGUGAAAUCCCCGGGCUCAACCUGGGAACUGCGUUUGUGACUGCACGGCUAGAGUACGGCAGAGGGGGGUGGAAUUCCUGGUGUAGCAGUGAAAUGCGUAGAUAUCAGGAGGAACAUCGAUGGCGAAGGCAGCCCCCUGGGCCGAUACUGACGCUCAUGCACGAAAGCGUGGGGAGCAAACAGG
RNAcentral lists this ribosomal RNA (253 nucleotides) under uncultured bacterium. RNAcentral describes it as "partial 16S ribosomal RNA". It matches the Rfam family "Bacterial small subunit ribosomal RNA", at positions 524 to 776 of the family's 1533-position model. The record is from RNAcentral.